RNAcentral lists this long non-coding RNA (413 nucleotides) under Nicotiana benthamiana. Its description in RNAcentral is "long non-coding RNA (NBEN_LNC019388)". Lineage: Eukaryota; Viridiplantae; Streptophyta; Magnoliopsida; Solanales; Solanaceae. The record is from RNAcentral.
AGCCUCUCUGCCCUUUUGGGCAGGGGUAAGGCUUGUCUACAUAUUACCCUCCCCAGACCCCACCUGGUGGGAAUAUACUGGGUAGUUGUUGUAGUUGUUGUUUUUGAUUAUACCAAUGACGACUAAUUUGAGAUGGUAGGCUUUCUUUUUUCUUGUUUAAAGUUCUUCAAUCCCCUUGUAUGCGUGUGUACGGAUAAGUGUGAAAUUCACCGAACUUCUAGUUUUGUAGUGAUCCCUAAUAUGCCGCAAAAGAGAAAUGAUUUAGUAUAGGAAUGAAGAGGACCUAAAUGUUGGGAUUUUGCUUAAAAAUGAGAAUGGUCAUUGUCCCAUAUUGGAAAAAUGUUGAAUAGUAGCUUGGAGGCUUGCCUAUAUAAGGAGGCUUAAGUUAUGUUUUCAAAUGUACCAAACCAANN